ACACGUCUACAUUAGAUACCCGGGUAGUCCCAGCCGUAAACUAUGCGCGUUAGGUGUAUCGGUGACCACGAGUUACCGAGGUGCCGAAGGGAAACCGUGAAACGUGCCGCCUGGGAAGUACGGUCGCAAGGCUGAAACUUAAAGGAAUUGGCGGGGGAGCACCACAACAGGUUGGAGCCUGCGGUUUAAUUGGACUCAACGCCGGGAAGCUCACCGGAUAGGACAGCAGAAUGAUUGCCGGGCUGAAGACCCUGCAUGACUAGCUG
This 266-nucleotide ribosomal RNA is filed under the name uncultured archaeon. RNAcentral describes it as "partial 16S ribosomal RNA". It matches the Rfam family "Archaeal small subunit ribosomal RNA", at positions 717 to 982 of the family's 1478-position model. The record is from RNAcentral.